Molecule: transfer RNA, 64 nt
Filed under: Drupina grossularia
Lineage: Eukaryota; Metazoa; Mollusca; Gastropoda; Neogastropoda; Muricidae
Description: tRNA-Cys
Source: RNAcentral
CGCACUAUAGUUUAUUGAAAACAUUGACCUGCAAAAUCAAGGAAGGAAGACAAUCCUAGUGUGU